ACGCACGCUGGCGGCGUGCCUCAUACAUGCAAGUAGAACGCUGAAGGAGGAGCUUGCUUCUCUGGAUGAGUUGCGAACGGGUGAGUAACGCGUAGGUAACCUGCCUGGUAGCGGGGGAUAACUAUUGGAAACGAUAGCUAAUACCGCAUAAUAGCAGUUGUUGCAUGACAACUGUUUGAAAGGUGCAAUUGCACCACUACCAGAUGGACCUGCGUUGUAUUAGCUAGUUGGUGGGGUAACGGCUCACCAAGGCGACGAUACAUAGCCGACCUGAGAGGGUGAUCGGCCACACUGGGACUGAGACACGGCCCAGACUCCUACGGGAGGCAGCAGUAGGGAAUCUUCGGCAAUGGACGGAAGUCUGACCGAGCAACGCCGCGUGAGUGAAGAAGGUUUUCGGAUCGUAAAGCUCUGUUGUAAGAGAAGAACGAGUGUGAGAGUGGAAAGUUCACACUGUGACGGUAUCUUACCAGAAAGAGACGGCUAACUACGUG
RNAcentral lists this ribosomal RNA (494 nucleotides) under uncultured bacterium. RNAcentral's name for it is "partial 16S ribosomal RNA". It matches the Rfam family "Bacterial small subunit ribosomal RNA", at positions 29 to 507 of the family's 1533-position model. The record is from RNAcentral.